Molecule: long non-coding RNA, 888 nt
Organism: Mobula hypostoma (lesser devil ray)
Lineage: Eukaryota; Metazoa; Chordata; Chondrichthyes; Myliobatiformes; Myliobatidae
Exons: 3
Source: RefSeq, a predicted model, not a curated record
CAACAACAGACAGAUUGUGCUUCUCUGAAAACAUCAAUGGAUGAAAUGUAUCAAACAUGCAAUGUGCAAUCUCAAGGGAGUCUACAGAACCAACUACUUACCAACCACGCAGAGAUCUUCCUGUGCUUGAAAGGAAACAGAAUGGAUAACAACGCUAUGGGAAAGUGAACUUCGAAGAGGAUACAAAGAGACUUUUAAAAGUUUAGUGGACAAACCAAUGAAAGAUGGAAUAAAAUGUAGAAAAAUGUGAAGCUGUGCAUGGUGGUAAGAAAUACUGAAAAACAAGCUUUUCUUUGUAAAGGUGAGUCAAUGAAAAUUUUACAGCGUGGGCCAAGCCCCUUUCGUAGAUUUCCUAACAUGGAACUGCUUUGUUGAACCAACCCAUAUUCUUCAUAUGUAAAUAUCUAUGAGUUCUAUGUUGAAUAUAUUCAUUGACUAAGCUACCACAAUCCUCCUGGGUACAGAAUCCGAUUUACUUCCUAUUUGCCUGGUGAAUACUAAGGCGCUUAGUGACAUGGUCUUACCUUCAAUGGAACUGGCCAUUGACUUCAGGAAGGGUGUGAUGCACAUGCCCCUGUCUGCAUCAGAGGUGCUAACAUUGAGAGGGUUGAACGUUUGAACUUCCUGGGAGUGAACAUCAGCAACAGCCUGCCUUAGUCCAACCAGAUGUCACAGUCAAAAAAAAAACUCUGCACCAGCACCUCUACUUUGUCAAGAGGCUGAGAAAUUUGGCGUGUCCUCUUUGACUCUCAUCAAUUUUUAAUCAAUGCACGAUGGAAAGUAUCCUAUCCUGAUGCACUGCAGUUUAGUACGGCAAUGGUUCUGCCUGUGAACACGAGAAGCUGCCGCAAGUUGUAGACACAGAUUAGUACGUCACAGGAGCAUGCA